RNAcentral lists this ribosomal RNA (470 nucleotides) under Scardovia sp. oral taxon 195. RNAcentral describes it as "bacterial SSU rRNA". It matches the Rfam family "Bacterial small subunit ribosomal RNA", at positions 28 to 494 of the family's 1533-position model. The record is from RNAcentral. Lineage: Bacteria; Bacillati; Actinomycetota; Actinomycetes; Bifidobacteriales; Bifidobacteriaceae.
GACGAACGCUGGCGGCGUGCUUAACACAUGCAAGUCGAACGGGAUCCACUGGGCUUUUGUUUGGUGGUGAGAGUGGCGAACGGGUGAGUAAUGCGUGACUAACCUGCCGUAUGGUUGGGGAUAGCUCCUGGAAACGGGUGGUAAUACCCAAUGCUCCAGCUGGAUGCAUGUCUGGUUGGGAAAGCUGUUGUGCCAUAUGAUGGGGUCGCGUCCUAUCAGCUUGUUGGUGGGGUGAUGGCCUACCAAGGCGUCGACGGGUAGCCGGCCUAAGAGGGCGACCGGCCACAUUGGGACUGAGAUACGGCCCAGACUCCUACGGGAGGCAGCAGUGGGGAAUAUUGCACAAUGGGCGCAAGCCUGAUGCAGCGACGCCGCGUGCGGGAUGGAGGCCUUCGGGUUGUAAACCGCUUUUAUAGGGGGGCAAAGCUAUGCCUGUGUGGUGUGGUGAGUGGACUUUAUGAAUAAGCACC